RNAcentral lists this ribosomal RNA (301 nucleotides) under uncultured bacterium. RNAcentral's name for it is "partial 16S ribosomal RNA". It matches the Rfam family "Bacterial small subunit ribosomal RNA", at positions 509 to 807 of the family's 1533-position model. The record is from RNAcentral.
CAGUAUCCGCGGUAAUACGGAGGGUGCAAGCGUUAAUCGGAAUUACUGGGCGUAAAGCGCACGCAGGCGGUCUGACAAGUCAGAUGUGAAAUCCCCGGGCUUAACCUGGGAACUGCAUUUGAAACUGUCAGGCUGGAGUCUUGUAGAGGGGGGUGGAAUUCCAGGUGUAGCGGUGAAAUGCGUAGAGAUCUGGAGGAAUACCGGUGGCGAAGGCGGCCCCCUGGACAAAGACUGACGCUCAGGUGCGAAAGCGUGGGGAGCAAACAGGAUUAGAUACCCGCGUAGUCCCUGUCUCUUAUAC